This 253-nucleotide ribosomal RNA is filed under the name uncultured bacterium. RNAcentral describes it as "partial 16S ribosomal RNA". It matches the Rfam family "Bacterial small subunit ribosomal RNA", at positions 524 to 776 of the family's 1533-position model. The record is from RNAcentral.
UACGUGGGGUGCAAACGUUGCUCGGAAUUAUUGGGCGUAAAGCGCGCGUAGGCGGUUACUUAAGUCGGAUGUGAAAGCCCUCGGCUUAACUGAGGAAGUGCACCCGAAACUGAGUAGCUAGAGUACGAAAGAGGGUCGCGGAAUUCCCGGUGUAGAGGUGAAAUUCGUAGAUAUCGGGAGGAACACCGGUGGCGAAGGCGGCGACCUGGGUCGAGACUGACGCUGAGGCGCGAAAGCGUGGGGAGCAAACAGG